CGUCUGUCUCGCCGCACUCUUCUCGUCUGUCUCGCCUCACUCUUCUCGUCAGUCUCGCCUCACUCUUCUCGUCUGUCUCGCCUCACUCGUCUCGUCUGUCUCGCCUCACUCUUCUCGUCUGUCUCGCCUCACUCUUCUCGUCUGUCUCGCCUCACUCUUCUCGUCUGUCUCGCCUCACUGGUCUCGUCAGUCUCGCCUCACUCGUCUCGUCUGUCUCGCCUCACUCUUCUCGUCUGUCUCGCCUCACUGGUCUCGUCAGUCCCGCCUCCCCCGUCUCGUCUCGUCUGUCUCGCCUCCCUCGUCUCAUCUCGUCUGUCUCGCCUCACUCAUCUCGUCUGUCUCGCCUCACUCUUCUCGUCUGUCUCGCCUCACUCUUCUCGUCUGUCUCGCCUCACUCGUCUCGUCAGUCUCGCCGCACUCUUCUCGUCUGUCUCGCCUCACUCGUCUCGUCAGAAUCGCCUCACUCUUCUCGUCUGUCUCGCCGCACUCUUCUCGUCUGUCUCGCCUCACUCGUCUCGUCUGUCUCGCCUCACUCGUCUCGUCUGUCUCGCCUCACUCGUCUCGUCUGUCUCGCCUCACUCGUCUCGUCUGUCUCGCCUCACUCGUCUCGUCUGUCUCGCCUCACUCGUCUCGUCUGUCUCGCCUCACUCGUCUCGUCUGUCUCGCCUCACUCGUCUCGUCUGUCUCGCCUCACUCGUCUCGUCUGUCUCGCCUCACUCGUCUCGUCUGUCUCGCCUCACUCGUCUCGUCUGUCUCGCCUCACUCGUCUCGUCUGUCUCGCCUCACUCGUCUCGUCUGUCUCGCCUCACUCGUCUCGUCUGUCUCGCCUCACUCGUCUCGUCUGUCUCGCCUCACUCGUCUCGUCUGUCUCGCCUCACUCGUCUCGUCUGUCUCGCCUCACUCGUCUCGUCUGUCUCGCCUCACUCGUCUCGUCUGUCUCGCCUCACUCGUCUCGUCUGUCUCGCCUCACUCGUCUCGUCUGUCUCGCCUCACUCGUCUCGUCUGUCUCGCCUCACUCGUCUCGUCUGUCUCGCCUCACUCGUCUCGUCUGUCUCGCCUCACUCGUCUCGUCUGUCUCGCCUCACUCGUCUCGUCUGUCUCGCCUCACUCGUCUCGUCUGUCUCGCCUCACUCGUCUCGUCUGUCUCGCCUCACUCGUCUCGUCUGUCUCGCCUCACUCGUCUCGUCUGUCUCGCCUCACUCGUCUCGUCUGUCUCGCCUCACUCGUCUCGUCUGUCUCGCCUCACUCGUCUCGUCUGUCUCGCCUCACUCGUCUCGUCUGUCUCGCCUCACUCGUCUCGUCUGUCUCGCCUCACUCGUCUCGUCUGUCUCGCCUCACUCGUCUCGUCUGUCUCGCCUCACUCGUCUGUCUCGCCUCACUCUUCUCGUCUGUCUCGCCUCACACUUCUCGUCUGUCUCGCCUCACUC
This 1427-nucleotide long non-coding RNA is filed under the name Sinocyclocheilus grahami. RNAcentral describes it as "lncRNA (ENSSGRG00000053302.1)". The record is from RNAcentral. Lineage: Eukaryota; Metazoa; Chordata; Actinopteri; Cypriniformes; Cyprinidae.